UUUUCCUCUGCUCUGCCUUAUUUUCAAAACACAGAUCCUCAACCCUAGCAUCUUCUAUUGUCCUCCACCCCUUCCUCCUCCCAGCCGACACCUCCACAUCUCCGUUGUCACCUCAUCCACUUCCACAGUCCCCCAGUCAACUCCCCCACCUCCACAGUCCGCCGCCGCCACUCUCCACAAACCGCCGCCGCCGCCCGUCACCCCUUCCUCCUCGCAGCCUCCGCCACUCUGGUAGGAGUCACGAUUAGAGCUCGAACUACGUUGGUGGAGACGAUGGAUAAUCCGAUAACAGUGAAGAGGAGGAAGCUCAGUACUUCGUUACUGUUUGUGCAAAUUGAAGAAUCUGGAAGUUUCAGAUCUAGAGGAGAGUGUUGAAACUGGAUCGACUAUAUAUAAUUCAGAUGGAGACAAAAGCAUGCCUGAACGUAAACCAAGCGAAGAUGAGCACAACGGUGAUGAAAAGCCAAGGAAAAGUUGUUGCAAGAAUCGGAUAGUAAAAGCUGCAAUAAUGCAAAAACAAGUUAGUGAUCAAGAAGAGGAAUUGAAGAACAUGAAAGCGAGAUUAGAUGAAGUAGAAACUGAAAGAAACCGAGCAGUUGUAGAGGUUAAAGAAGCUAAAGAGUUGGCUAAUACAGGAUUAUUGCCUCAAAAAGUCGAACGAAUGUUUUCAGAGCUCAAGAGUUUACAAGAGUUGCUAUCAAAUUCGAUAAAAGAGAUCAAAUCAAGAGAUGAAGAGAUCAAUGAAUUGAGCAAGCAGCUUGAAUCUGCAAAGGUGUUCGAGGCUAAGUUAGCUGAUAGGGAUGCUUCUUUGGAGCAAUUCAAGAAGCAGAUUUAAGAACUCGAAAAUGAACCGGAGAAAACGAAGAAAUCAGAAUCACAUAUGCUGGAAUCAUUGAUGCUGCAAACCCGACAAUUCGAGCAAACUAAAAUGGACUUAGAAAAAUCAAAGCUUGAUGUUGUGACCCUUCAAGAAAAUCUCAAUAGCCUUCAAAACGGUGGUAAAAACGGGUUCAAUCAAACGAGUAAUCUGGAUUCAUCUUCGAAUGCUAAAAUUCUGAGAGACGAAAUAGCAAUGAUGAGAAAAGAAGUGAAAUUAGCAACAAAAGCUGAGGAGACAAGCAAAAAAGCUAUGGAUGAUUUAGCAUCGGCUUUAAGCGAAGUAGCGAUGGAAUCCAGUACAGUGAACGAACGACUACGAUUAUUAGAAGAACAAGUAGCCCAUUUGAAAAAGGAAAUCGAACGGUUACGUGAAGAACUUGAGUUACAAAUGGAGACAUCUGAAAGAUUAAGAGUGGAGUCUGAAGAACAGGUUCUUGCAUGGACUGCGAAAGAAAUGGGAUUCAUAAGUUAUAUAAAGAAAGCCGGCGAAGACAACGCGUCACUCAAACAAGAAAACCAUAAACAUAAUGAAGCUUUAGUUGCAGUAGAGAACACCACGAGAAUUGCAAGAGAAGAAGGUUUGAAGCGAAGGGAUAUCCUCAAAGAUGAUGCUGAUAUGCUCCGAUACAGGUAAAACAAAAGUUUUGCACACUCCAUUACUUGACCGGAGAAAGCAACCGACUACGGCGAUUCCGAUCUUCCAUCGUCGGCGACCAUGACUACAUCAACCGAACAACAUUUCUCCAAAGUAAUCUUCAAAUCUUCAUUCUCUAAGUUAGUGUUUCAUUAAUUUCACAUCAAAUCAAUCGAGUUUUAUUUAGUUAUAUGAGGUUUGGCUUUCUCAUCGUGAAGCUUUAGAUGCACAUAUACAAGACAGAAUCAUGAAGGAGAGAGAGAGAGAGAGAGAGAGAGAGAGAGAGAGAGAGAGAGAGAGAGAGAUGCAGAGUUACAUUGAAGAGCGUGAAUGACAAGUCGCUGAAUGUGAAGCAGCCUAGAAAGCUUUAGAUGCAAACAUAAAAUGAUGACAACCGGUGGAUAUGGUAUAUCUGUCUAUUUUUCUUUAUUGCAGCAGUAUUAUGAUCAUCAAUAAGGUGGCGUUUUUUCAGUGUUUGGAUCACUAUGAUAUGGGCCAGCAUCUAAGUGAAUGUCUGCAUAGUCAAUGUUGGAAAACAGUCGACGCAUUUCAAAGAUCAGGCCAUGCUGCAAUGUUAUACACUCAAAGUUUCAAACGUGUUCUUAUGGAUGGUCAAAAUAUGGCCUACAGAAGUCAAACAUGGAGUUUUUAGAUACUGAGAUGGGCGGUAAAUUUCAAGAUAUACCGGUGAUGAAGAUCUUAGUAUGGGAAUGAAAACAAAGAUUGAAAUCUUGCUCAAUUUCUACUGACAAGAUGGUUGUUUGAUGAUAAUUAAAGGCUCUACAACAGUAAUCACACAAAAUAACAAGCCAAACAAGAUUAUAAUGCAGCACAUCAUGGAUGGGUCAAAGAUCAAUAAAUACACCGAGAUGCUAAAGAAGAAGGUGACGAUGCAAUGUGCUGAGUUUAUGUUGUAUGAUCCGGUUGAAGGAUAAUGGAAAUUUAGAGUCCAGCACUUCUUAAGUGAAUAUAGUUUUUUUCUUUAGUGGGCUACUGAUAUAGGAUUUAUUUGAUUUCUAUGAUGAAGUUGUGUCUAAUGUGUUUUACAGUCUAAAUAUUUGAUUUGUAAUUAUUAACAGUUGCUUGAAUGCAGAUGUUAUUUCGUUCACAAAGAUUAAUAAAUCGUAUAUUUUCCUA
This is an RNA transcript of Helianthus annuus (common sunflower), 2650 nucleotides long. RefSeq lists it as uncharacterized. Lineage: Eukaryota; Viridiplantae; Streptophyta; Magnoliopsida; Asterales; Asteraceae. The transcript is spliced from 6 exons. The record is from RefSeq and is a predicted model, not a curated record.